AGUUUAAAACCAAGACACUGGCAAGCAGAUGAGAAUCCUUCCUCAGCCCAGAAGCUGUCCCCCAUUCCCGUGUCCCCUAGUUGUGUCACUGCUGCAGUUCACAGGGGUGAAGCACUUGCUACUUUUGCCCAUCAUCAAACCCCACAGGGGAAAGAACUACUACCCAUUUUCUUCAUCCCAGCUCCACAAGCUGAUCCAGGUGCAGAAAGCCAUGAGCUUGUGGGGAACCAUGUAGCUGGAAUGAACUUGGCCCUGGGGACAUGCCCUGUAUGACACUGACUUGAUGACAUCUAGUGGGAAGUCCUGAAGGUUCUUCUGCCAGAUGCCACACACCACAUCCCAACUGCCCUGCUUUCUCUGCCACUCCUCAAGGCUCAGGCUCUGAAGUAAGGCUGUCAGCUCCCAGACAAAGUCAGACUGUGGCUGAGAUUACUGGAAGUGGCUGUGAUGCCCAUCAGCAGAUGAUAGAGAUGGGCUUCCUGGAACUGCCACUAACCUCCUGCAGACCAGGCUCCAUGUCCCAGCAGGUCCCAGCCCAGGCCCAACCUACAGCCAUAACCAUGGAAGGCAGGUGGCCUCAGGUGCUGACAGCUGCUUUGGUCUCCAUGGAAGCAGAAGCCCUGCUGGAAGUACCUGCAGACCUGGGGCACCUUUCUGUCAUAAGCAUGGCAACUUGACCCCCAGUGAUCAUCCUUGAAUGGCAGCUGGGAACGGGGCUUGUUCUCCCUACCGUGACUGUAGUCAUCCUUCCCUGCAGCGUCCAUCCCAGCUGCAGGUCCUGUGAGCCUCCAUUCAUUUUCAAACACCUAUUGAUCAGUUUGCAUUUUAUGUGAUUUUAUAUAUAUAGAAACAUAGAGCAUGUUCUCUGUUUUGGUUUGGCUUUGCUGUAUGGUUUGGAUGUGGCUUGUCCCCAAGAGUUCAUAUAUUGGAGGCUUUGGUCCUUAGUAUGGCAGUGGUGAAACAGUGGGACUUUGUAGAGGUAGGUCCUUGUGGAAUGUCUUUAGGUUAUUGGGGCUUUGCCUCAAGAGGGAUUAAAGUAGUUUUCCUGAGACCUGAGUUAGUUUAAUCAGAGCAAAUCACUCUAAGAGAGACCAACCUGGAAUCUCUCUCUGGCUUCCUAUGUCUCUCCAUGUGAUCUUGCCCUCUCAUAUUGCAGUCUCAGCAUUGUGAUGCCCUCUGCCACAAGUUCCUCACCAGAACCAAGCCAAUGCAGGUGCCAGACCCUUGAACCUUCAAAAUUGUGUUAAAUAAACCUCUUUUCUUUAUGAAGUUA
This is a non-coding RNA of Marmota flaviventris (yellow-bellied marmot), 1273 nucleotides long. The record is from RefSeq and is a predicted model, not a curated record. NCBI's taxonomy places the organism in Eukaryota, Metazoa, Chordata, Mammalia, Rodentia, Sciuridae.